UGGACUAGCCCUUAAGCUUUACACGCGUUAGACGAACGGUCUGGAAAGUCCGACGAUACAGGGUGAUAGUCCCGUAGUUGACGACGUGUGUUCAGUGAAAUCGAGUAGGGCGGGACACGUGAUAUCCUGUCUGAAUAUGGGGGGACCAUCCUCCAAGGCUAAAUACUACUGACUGACCGAUAGUGAACCAGUACCGUGAGGGAAAGGCGAAAAGAACCCCUGUGAGGGGAGUGAAAUAGAACCUGAAACCGUGUACGUACAAGCAGUAGGAGCAGGCUUUGUCCUGUGACUGCGUACCUUUUGUAUAAUGGGUCAGCGACUUAUAUUCAGUGGCAAGGUUAACCAUCUAGGGGAGCCGUAGGGAAACCGAGUCUUAACUGGGCGUUCAGUCUCUGGAUAUAGACCCGAAACCAGGUGAUCUAGCCAUGGGCAGGUUGAAGGUUGAGUAACAUCAACUGGAGGACCGAACCGACUAAUGUUGAAAAAUUAGCGGAUGACUUGUGGCUAGGGGUGAAAGGCCAAUCAAACCUGGAGAUAGCUGGUUCUCCCCGAAAGCUAUUUAGGUAGCGCCUCGGACGAAUACUACUGGGGGUAGAGCACUGUUAAGGCUAGGGGGUCAUCCCGACUUACCAACCCUUUGCAAACUCCGAAUACCAGUAAGUACUAUCCGGGAGACACACGGCGGGUGCUAACGUCCGUCGUGGAGAGGGAAACAACCCAGACCGCCAGCUAAGGUCCCAAAUUACUACUAAGUGGGAAACGAUGUGGGAAGGCUCAGACAGCCAGGAUGUUGGCUUAGAAGCAGCCAUCAUUUAAAGAAAGCGUAAUAGCUCACUGGUCGAGUCGGCCUGCGCGGAAGAUGUAACGGGGCUAAGUAGUAAACCGAAGCUGCGGCAAUGCACUUUGUGCAUUGGGUAGGGGAGCGUUCUGUAAGCGGUUGAAGGUGUGUGGUAACGCAUGCUGGACGUAUCAGAAGUGCGAAUGCUGACAUGAGUAACGAUAAAGGGGGUGAAAAACCUCCUCGCCGGAAGACCAAGGGUUCCUGUCCAACGUUAAUCGGGGCAGGGUAAGUCGACCCCUAAGGCGAGGCCGAAAGGCGUAGUCGAUGGGAAACGGGUUAAUAUUCCCGUACUUCUUACAAUUGCGAUGGGGGGACGGAGAAGGCUAGGUGGGCCUGGCGACGGUUGUCCAGGUUCAAGUGCGUAGGCUUGAGAGUUAGGUAAAUCCGGCUCUCUUUAAGGCUGAGACACGACGUCGAGCACCUACGGGUGUGAAGUCAUUGAUGCCAUGCUUCCAGGAAAAGCCUCUAAGCUUCAGAUUGUAAGGAAUCGUACCCCAAACCGACACAGGUGGUCGGGUAGAGAAUACCAAGGCGCUUGAGAGAACUCGGGUGAAGGAACUAGGCAAAAUGGUACCGUAACUUCGGGAGAAGGUACGCUCUCGACGGUGAAGUCCCUCGCGGAUGGA
RNAcentral lists this ribosomal RNA (1467 nucleotides) under Vibrio parahaemolyticus. RNAcentral's name for it is "partial 23S ribosomal RNA". It matches the Rfam family "Bacterial large subunit ribosomal RNA", at positions 296 to 1780 of the family's 2925-position model. Lineage: Bacteria; Pseudomonadati; Pseudomonadota; Gammaproteobacteria; Vibrionales; Vibrionaceae. The record is from RNAcentral.